GCGCCCGUAGCUCAGUUGGAUAGAGCAGCGGACUUCUAAUCCGCAGGUCCGGGGUUCGAAUCCCUGCGGGCGCGUCA
This 77-nucleotide transfer RNA is filed under the name Planctomycetota bacterium. RNAcentral's name for it is "Planctomycetes bacterium tRNA-Arg". It matches the Rfam family "tRNA". From Rfam's summary of the family: Transfer RNA (tRNA) molecules are approximately 80 nucleotides in length. Their secondary structure includes four short double-helical elements and three loops (D, anti-codon, and T loops). Further hydrogen bonds mediate the characteristic L-shaped molecular structure. tRNAs have two regions of fundamental functional importance: the anti-codon, which is responsible for specific mRNA codon recognition, and the 3' end, to which the tRNAs corresponding amino acid is attached (by aminoacyl-tRNA synthetases). tRNAs cope with the degeneracy of the genetic code in two manners: having more than one tRNA (with a specific anti-codon) for a particular amino acid; and 'wobble' base-pairing, i.e. permitting non-standard base-pairing at the 3rd anti-codon position. The record is from RNAcentral. Lineage: Bacteria; Pseudomonadati; Planctomycetota.